RNAcentral lists this ribosomal RNA (252 nucleotides) under uncultured bacterium. Its description in RNAcentral is "partial 16S ribosomal RNA". It matches the Rfam family "Bacterial small subunit ribosomal RNA", at positions 524 to 775 of the family's 1533-position model. The record is from RNAcentral.
UACAGAGGGUGCAAGCGUUAAUCGGAAUUACUGGGCGUAAAGGGCAUGUAGGUGGGCGUACAAGUUUGAUGUGAAAUCCCUGGGCUUAACCUGGGAACGGCGUUGAAGACUGUAGGCCUAGAGUUUGAGAGAGGGUCGUGGAAUUUCCGGUGUAGCGGUGAAAUGCGUAGAUAUCGGAAAGAACACCAGUGGCGAAGGCGUCGGCCUGGCUCAAAACUGACACUGAGGUGCGAAAGCGUGGGGAGCAAACAG